CCUACGGGAGGCAGCAGUGAGGAAUAUUGGUCAAUGGACGAGAGUCUGAACCAGCCAAGUAGCGUGAAGGAUGACUGCCCUAUGGGUUGUAAACUUCUUUUAUAUGGGAAUAAAACGUUCCACGUGUGGGAUUUUGUAUGUACCAUAUGAAUAAGGAUCGGCUAACUCCGUGCCAGCAGCCGCGGUAAUACGGAGGAUCCGAGCGUUAUCCGGAUUUAUUGGGUUUAAAGGGAGCGUAGGUGGAUUGUUAAGUCAGUUGUGAAAGUUUGCGGCUGAACCGUAAAAUUGCAGUUGAAACUGGCAGUCUUGAGUACAGUAGAGGUGGGCGGAAUUCGUGGUGUAGCGGUGAAAUGCUUAGAUAUCACGAAGAACUCCGAUUGCGAAGGCAGUUCACUGGACUGCAACUGACACUGAGGCUCGAAAGUGUGGGUAUCAAACAGGAUUAGAUACCCUUGUAGUC
This 460-nucleotide ribosomal RNA is filed under the name uncultured bacterium. RNAcentral describes it as "partial 16S ribosomal RNA". It matches the Rfam family "Bacterial small subunit ribosomal RNA", at positions 338 to 795 of the family's 1533-position model. The record is from RNAcentral.